AGACCCGAAACCCGGUGAUCUAGCCAUGGGCAGGUUGAAGGUUGGGUAACACUAACUGGAGGACCGAACCGACUAAUGUUGAAAAAUUAGCGGAUGACCUGUGGCUGGGGGUGAAAGGCCAAUCAAACCGGGAGAUAGCUGGUUCUCCCCGAAAGCUAUUUAGGUAGCGCCUCGUGAAUUCAUCUCCGGGGGUAGAGCACUGUUUCGGCUAGGGGGCCAUCCCGGCUUACCAACCCGAUGCAAACUGCGAAUACCGGAGAAUGUUAUCACGGGAGACACACGGCGGGUGCUAACGUCCGUCGUGAAGAGGGAAACAACCCAGACCGCCAGCUAAGGUCCCAAAGUCAUGGUUAAGUGGGAAACGAUGUGGGAAGGCCCAGACAGCCAGGAUGUUGGCUUAGAAGCAGCCAUCAUUUAAAGAAAGCGUAAUAGCUCACUGGUCGAGUCGGCCUGCGCGGAAGAUGUAACGGGGCUAAACCAUGCACCGAAGCUGCGGCAGCGAACGUAUCACCCAAGACAACUUUACGGAGUUGACGAUUGACGGAGCGAAGCGACGUCAAAGCGUUCAUUAAAGUCGAGUUGGCUUAGGGAUACGUUCGUUGGGUAGGGGAGCGUUCUGUAAGCCUGUGAAGGUGUGUCGUGAGGCAUGCUGGAGGUAUCAGAAGUGCGAAUGCUGACAUAAGUAACGAUAAAGCGGGUGAAAAGCCCGCUCGCCGGAAGACCAAGGGUUCCUGUCCAACGUUAAUCGGGGCAGGGUGAGUCGACCCCUAAGGCGAGGCCGAAAGGCGUAGUCGAUGGGAAACGGGUUAAUAUUCCCGUACUUGGUGUUACUGCGAAGGGGGGACGGAGAAGGCUAUGUUGGCCGGGCGACGGUUGUCCCGGUUUAAGCGUGUAGGUGUGUGUUCCAGGUAAAUCCGGUUCACUUUAACACUGAGGCGUGAUGACGAGGCACUACGGUGCUGA
RNAcentral lists this ribosomal RNA (963 nucleotides) under Salmonella enterica. Its description in RNAcentral is "partial 23S ribosomal RNA". It matches the Rfam family "Bacterial large subunit ribosomal RNA", at positions 711 to 1588 of the family's 2925-position model. RNAcentral also lists the same sequence under 3 other names. Lineage: Bacteria; Pseudomonadati; Pseudomonadota; Gammaproteobacteria; Enterobacterales; Enterobacteriaceae. The record is from RNAcentral.